This is a non-coding RNA of Rhizobium etli, 104 nucleotides long. The record is from Rfam. NCBI's taxonomy places the organism in Bacteria, Pseudomonadati, Pseudomonadota, Alphaproteobacteria, Hyphomicrobiales, Rhizobiaceae.
GGAGGAUGGCCCUCCGGGAUCGGCUUUCAGGAGCGGGUCUCAAACCAGUCCGAGCUGCUGCGGUAAAGAGCCGUGGUGGCUGGGGCUUACUUUCCGCCGCCGGU